This 1164-nucleotide long non-coding RNA is filed under the name Anas platyrhynchos platyrhynchos (common mallard). Its description in RNAcentral is "lncRNA (ENSAPLG00000020827.1)". Lineage: Eukaryota; Metazoa; Chordata; Aves; Anseriformes; Anatidae. The record is from RNAcentral.
GAGAUUUAAGCCCACUUCUUGUCCUAUCCGCCAGGGACGUGGAGAACAGAUUUUUCCCUUCUUUUUCACAAAAGCGUUUUGCAUAUUUAAAAAUGGCAGCGCCAUAGUCUGGGAGGUAGCUACCGUAUUAAUUACCCAGAUGACGCAGAGCUUCCACUGAAACGCACAUCAACUGCUGUGUGUUAUUAUUGUCAUUUAAUUUGACUUCUACAACUAAUCAGGCAUUGCCUUUUACAACAGACGAGACCACUCCUGUGGGUGUAGGUAUUUGGAAACCAAAAGCCCUUAAAGCUGCAUCUUUCUGGUGGAAAAUAUCACCACAAGCCAUCGUGUUUUCUUUCCUGUAUUUGAAAACCACCCACAUUUUCUGUAAGAAAAAAAAAUUAAAAAAAUUAAACUGAUUGAGCGUUUUGCCCAGGCAGUGGGCCUUUCUGAAGAGUUUCAUUCUCAAAAUAUUUGGUCUCUGUUGUUUGUUUUUUUUUUAAGUACGGUUAUUUACAGUCCUUUGUUAAUUUAAAAGAAGCGUGGCAAAAAAAAAAUAAAAAUAAUUAGGGGACGCAUGUAAUAACUUCUCUGAAAGAAGGCAAAAUAUUCCUCUUUGCCUUUGCUUUGAAUUUAUUGAAGCUCAGUUAAUGAGCUAAUAUGCUUGAAAAUAAAAAGAGGAAGAAAAUAUAGCAGGCUAGCUCAUUUCCAAAGUUAAAAUAAUACUUAACUGAGCACUUUUUUUCCACUUUUUUUUUUCCCCCCUUUCCUUUCUCCCUGAAGGUUUCCAUUUCUGCUCAGCGUGCAGUGCAUGUUAACAUGAGGUUUACAUUUCAGUCUUAUUAUCUCAGUCAUACAAAAACAGGUUUGGAAAGGAGCAGGGAGGUCACUUUGUCCCUUCUGCUAUAUGGCGGUUCCAGUGCUCCCCAAACCAGGGAGGUUCCUAAGAGGUCCGUCCGCCCCUGCCCUGCCGUCAUUACACACUUCCAGCCCGGGAUCUCCCUGGUCUCCACAGAAGAGGACAGGAAAUGCAGUGAGCAAAUAAAACCACUUGCAAAAUACUGUGUGAUGGUGCACAUCUCGCAGACACUUCACCAGAAAAGAUUGGGUAAUCCUGGGAGAACCUUUCUACAGGGAAGCCUCCUUGAAAUGGACAUCACUGAAAACCAACGUGAAGCUUGA